UACGGCUCAGUAACACGUGGAUAACCUGCCCUAAGGAAGGGGAUAACCCCGGGAAACUGGGGAUAAUACCCUAUAGGUUACAGAUGCUGGAAUGCUCUGUAACCGAAAGCUCCGGCGCCUUAGGAUGGAUCUGCGGCCGAUUAGGUUGUUGUCGGGGUAACGGCCCAACAAGCCAGUAAUCGGUACGGGUUGUGGGAGCAAGAGCCCGGAGUUGGAUUCUGAGACACGAAUCCAGGCCCUACGGGGCGCAGCAGGCGCGAAAACUUUACAAUGCGGGCAACCGUGAUAAGGGAACCUCGAGUGCCUGUAUAUGCAGGCUGUCUGGGUGUCUAAAACACACCUAAAGAAAGGGCCGGGCAAGACCGGUGCCAGCCGCCGCGGUAAUACCGGCGGCUCGAGUGGUGGCCACUUUUAUUGGGCUUAAAGCGUUCGUAGCUGGGUUAUUAAGUCCCUUGGGAAAUCCGACGGCUUAACCGUCGGGCGUCUAAGGGAUACUGGUAAUCUUGGAACCGGGAGAGGUGAGGGGUACUUCGGGGGUAGGAGUGAAAUCCUGUAAUCCUCGAGGGACCACCUGUGGCGAAGGCGCCUCACCAGAACGGCUUCGACAGUGAGGGACGAAAGCUGGGGGAGCAAACCGGAUUAGAUACCCGGGUAGUCCCAGCCGUAAACGAUGUGCGUUAGGUGUAUCGGUGACCACGAGUCACCGAGGUGUCGAAGGGAAACCGUGAAACGUACCGCCUGGGAAGUACGGUCGCAAGGCUGAAACUUAAAGGAAUUGGCGGGGGAGCAC
This 790-nucleotide ribosomal RNA is filed under the name methanogenic prokaryote enrichment culture J0704720_A19-32_M13F-47. Its description in RNAcentral is "bacterial SSU rRNA". It matches the Rfam family "Archaeal small subunit ribosomal RNA", at positions 84 to 879 of the family's 1478-position model. The record is from RNAcentral.